This 485-nucleotide ribosomal RNA is filed under the name uncultured bacterium. RNAcentral's name for it is "partial 16S ribosomal RNA". It matches the Rfam family "Bacterial small subunit ribosomal RNA", at positions 28 to 507 of the family's 1533-position model. The record is from RNAcentral.
AUUGAACGCUGGCGGCAUGCCUUACACAUGCAAGUCGAACGGCAGCGGGCCCUUCGGGGUGCCGGCGAGUGGCGAACGGGUGAGUAAUGCAUCGGAACGUACCCGGGAGAGGGGGAUAACCGGCCGAAAGGCUGGCUAAUACCGCAUGAACUCGGAAGAGCAAAGCGGGGGACCUUCGGGCCUCGCGCUCUCGGAGCGGCCGAUGUCCGUUUCGGCUAGUUGGUGGGGUAAAGGCCCACCAAGGCGACGAUCGGUAGCGGGUCUGAGAGGACGAUCCGCCACACUGGGACUGAGACACGGCCCAGACUCCUACGGGAGGCAGCAGUGGGGAAUCUUGGACAAUGGGCGCAAGCCUGAUCCAGCAGUGCCGCGUGGGUGAAGAAGGCCUUCGGGUUGUAAAGCCCUUUCGGCGGGGAAGAAAUCGGUCAGGCGAAUAGUCUGGCCGGGUGACGGUACCCGCAGAAGAAGCACCGGCUAACUACGUG